GCUGACGAGUGGCGGACGGGUGAGUAAUGUCUGGGAAACUGCCUGAUGGAGGGGGAUAACUACUGGAAACGGUGGCUAAUACCGCAUAACGUCGCAAGACCAAAGAGGGGGACCUUCGGGCCUCUUGCCAUCAGAUGUGCCCAGAUGGGAUUAGCUUGUUGGUGAGGUAACGGCUCACCAAGGCGACGAUCCCUAGCUGGUCUGAGAGGAUGACCAGCCACACUGGAACUGAGACACGGUCCAGACUCCUACGGGAGGCAGCAGUGGGGAAUAUUGCACAAUGGGCGCAAGCCUGAUGCAGCCAUGCCGCGUGUAUGAAGAAGGCCUUCGGGUUGUAAAGUACUUUCAGCGGGGAGGAAGGUGUUGUGGUUAAUAACCGCAGCAAUUGACGUUACCCGCAGAAGAAGCACCGGCUAACUCCGUGCCAGCAGCCGCGGUAAUACGGAGGGUGCAAGCGUUAAUCGGAAUUACUGGGCGUAAAGCGCACGCAGGCGGUCUGUCAAGUCGGAUGUGAAAUCCCCGGGCUCAACCUGGGAACUGCAUUCGAAACUGGCAGGCUUGAGUCUUGUAGAGGGGGGUAGAAUUCCAGGUGUAGCGGUGAAAUGCGUAGAGAUCUGGAGGAAUACCGGUGGCGAAGGCGGCCCCCUGGACAAAGACUGACGCUCAGGUGCGAAAGCGUGGGGAGCAAACAGGAUUAGAUACCCUGGUAGUCCACGCCGUAAACGAUGUCUACUUGGAGGUUGUGCCCUUGAGGCGUGGCUUCCGGAGCUAACGCGUUAAGUAGACCGCCUGGGGAGUACGGCCGCAAGGUUAAAACUCAAAUGAAUUGACGGGGGCCCGCACAAGCGGUGGAGCAUGUGGUUUAAUUCGAUGCAACGCGAAGAACCUUACCUGGUCUUGACAUCCACGGAAGAAUUCAGAGAUGGAUUUGUGCCUUCGGGAACCGUGAGACAGGUGCUGCAUGGCUGUCGUCAGCUCGUGUUGUGAAAUGUUGGGUUAAGUCCCGCAACGAGCGCAACCCUUAUCCUUUGUUGCCAGCGGUUAGGCCGGGAACUCAAAGGAGACUGCCAGUGAUAAACUGGAGGAAGGUGGGGAUGACGUCAAGUCAUCAUGGCCCUUACGACCAGGGCUACACACGUGCUACAAUGGCGCAUACAAAGAGAAGCGACCUCGCGAGAGCAAGCGGACCUCAUAAAGUGCGUCGUAGUCCGGAUUGGAGUCUGCAACUCGACUCCAUGAAGUCGGAAUCGCUAGUAAUCGUGGAUCAGAAUGCCACGGUGAAUACGUUCCCGGGCCUUGUACACACCGCCCGUCACACCAUGGGAGUGGGUUGCAAAAGAAGUAGGUAGCUUAACCUUCGGGAGGGCGCUUACCACUUUGUGAUUCAUGACUGGGGUGAAGUCGUAACAAGGUAACCGUAGGGGAACCUGCGGUUGGAUCACCUCCUUACCUUAAAGAAGC
RNAcentral lists this ribosomal RNA (1461 nucleotides) under Salmonella enterica subsp. enterica serovar Senftenberg. RNAcentral's name for it is "bacterial SSU rRNA". It matches the Rfam family "Bacterial small subunit ribosomal RNA". The record is from RNAcentral. Lineage: Bacteria; Pseudomonadati; Pseudomonadota; Gammaproteobacteria; Enterobacterales; Enterobacteriaceae.